Molecule: ribosomal RNA, 497 nt
Filed under: uncultured bacterium
Lineage: Bacteria
Description: partial 16S ribosomal RNA
Rfam family: Bacterial small subunit ribosomal RNA
Source: RNAcentral
GAUGAACGCUGGCGGCGUGCCUAAUACAUGCAAGUCGAGCGAACAGAUAAGGAGCUUGCUCCUUUGACGGUAGCGGCGGACGGGUGAGUAACACGUGGGUAACCUACCUAUAAGACUGGAAUAACUCCGGGAAACCGGGGCUAAUGCCGGAUAACAUUUAGAACCGCAUGGUUCUAAAGUGAAAGAUGGUUUUGCUAUCACUUAUAGAUGGACCCGCGCCGUAUUAGCUAGUUGGUAAGGUAACGGCUUACCAAGGCAACGAUACGAAGCGGACCUGAGAGGGUGGUCGGCCACACUGGAACUGAGACACGGCCCAGACUGCUGCGGGAGGCAGCAGUAGGGAAUCUUACGCAAUGGGCGAAAGCCUGACCGAGCGACGCCGCGUGAGUGAUGAAGGUCUUCGGAUGGUAAAACUCUGUUAUUAGGGAAGAACAAAUGUGUAAGUAACUGUGCACGUAUUGACGGUACCUAAUCAGAAAGCCACGGCUAACUACGUG